AUCAGAUCUAAAUGCUCUAAGUUGAUGCUUAUGCUUCAUACCUGAGCUAUUGGAUCUUGAUUAGCACUCGGGGACCCUCCCUUAUGGUGCCGUUGAUAUUCCGUGACCUCUCGCAUUACCUGGUUAUUUCACAAGAACAACAAAGCAACCUCAGGAGCUAUUCCAUAGGGCGAUGAUCAUGAUUCUAGGGCGGACCUGUGCCUUAGAGCCUAAAAACGAAGCUAGACUAGUUUAAUCAUGUUAUAAACUUUGUAUUUUCCUGUUUUGAAACAAUGGAACACUCUUGUCAAUAAAUAAAAUGUAACUUUAAUU
RNAcentral lists this long non-coding RNA (312 nucleotides) under Helianthus annuus (common sunflower). Its description in RNAcentral is "hypothetical non coding rna". The record is from RNAcentral. Lineage: Eukaryota; Viridiplantae; Streptophyta; Magnoliopsida; Asterales; Asteraceae.